CCCUUAGAUAUUCUGGGCUGCACACGUGCUACACUGGCAGGUUCAGCGAGCUUCAUGCCCUGAUCUGAAAGGAAUGGGAAAUCUUUUCAAAACCUGCCGUGCUUGGGAUAGAUGUUUGCAAUUAUUCAUCUUCAACGAGGAUUGCCUUGUAAGCGCACGUCAUCAGCGUGCAUUGAAUACGACCCUGUAUUCUGUACACACCGCCCGUCGCUCCUACCGAUUGAAGUUUUCGGUGAGUUGACAGGAGGAUUUUUUUGAAACUGGUUCGCCAGUGGAUUUUAGAUCCAAAUGCCAACGAAUCGAUGGCUUUAGAGGAAGGAGAAGUCGUAACA
This 332-nucleotide ribosomal RNA is filed under the name uncultured eukaryote. Its description in RNAcentral is "partial 18S ribosomal RNA". It matches the Rfam family "Eukaryotic small subunit ribosomal RNA", at positions 1470 to 1796 of the family's 1831-position model. The record is from RNAcentral.